This 73-nucleotide transfer RNA is filed under the name Fasciola gigantica. It matches the Rfam family "tRNA". Rfam says of the family: Transfer RNA (tRNA) molecules are approximately 80 nucleotides in length. Lineage: Eukaryota; Metazoa; Platyhelminthes; Trematoda; Plagiorchiida; Fasciolidae. The record is from Rfam by way of RNAcentral.
ACUGCGAUAGCUCGGUUGAUGGAGUAUCUGCCCGGUAUGCGGAGUGUUGCCGGUUCGAUUCCGGCUCGCGGCA